CACUGUUUCCUACUGAUGCGUCAACAAAAAACUAGAUCGGUAAGAGCUGCUACCCAUUACGCCACCUGGUUACUGGCACCAAAAACACAACUUCCACGAAAAUAAAGCCGCAAAAAGAACGAAUCAAAUGCUCGGGAGCCGUGGUUGAACAUUCGGCUUUCAGACACUGUUGAGCGCCACGUACGGCCCGUACAAAUGUCGUAUCCAUAUUGAAUCUCUAUCUUUCAUCCAUCCUCCGUGCCCCCUUUCUUUUCUUUUCUCGUCUUCGUUCACCGAAGGCUUUGGAAGGGCAGAAGAAGGAAUAUGGGGAAACCAGGAGACGAGAAAUAACAUUACAAACCAUAAGAAUCGACUACCAGUAUCGAUACAGUUGACGAUGGAGACGAAAACUAAUAAUCGAUAGAAUUCCACCUGUUGUGCCAGUUAAGCACCUGUUACAGAACCCGCCUUGAGCGACAUUGCAACAUUAUUACAUCUUUCUUUUUAUCGAGAAUGAGAAAAUAAUUCCUCCAAAACCAUCAAUUUUAUUUUCGAUGCAACUUCUCCUCUCUUAAGUCUUAAGAAAUCUCUUAACGACUCAGACUACAUCAAUUUGUUCCGUCUCCUACUGCGUCGAAUGGCUUCUGCUACCCCUCAAGCUUUUCAAACGAUCGACUGCACAAUGGAGACGAAAGGAAAUAUGCCAAACUUCUCGUAAAUGUCAUCCUUUUUACUAACUCAUCGCCUCCAUGAUUUCUUCGGGGCAACUUUUCAAGAUUCGAUCCUAUUUACCCAUCUCAUUUGGUAUCCGUUGAAUGUGAGAUGAGCUUGUCAUAGGCGAAAAAAAAAGAAUUUGGGACGAAAAGAGAACAGACAAAAACUGAGACACUUUUCGUAGAAGCUGUUCAAAUAAUGUAUCAGCCAGCGUUCUGAAACGCUUUCGUCAAUAAACUAGUUUGGCCUGAAAGAUUGUGACUCAUGACGAUUGGGCCUAAA
Long non-coding RNA from Daphnia magna, 975 nucleotides. RefSeq lists it as uncharacterized. Lineage: Eukaryota; Metazoa; Arthropoda; Branchiopoda; Diplostraca; Daphniidae. The record is from RefSeq and is a predicted model, not a curated record. The transcript is spliced from 2 exons.